ACGAUCCUACUUGCACUAAUGCACCUAAUUCCAUCAGAACUCUGCAGUUAAGCGUGCUUGGGUGAGAGUAGUACUAGGAUGGGUGACCGCCUAGGAAAGUCCUUGUGUUGCACCCA
This is a non-coding RNA of Ilex paraguariensis (yerba mate), 116 nucleotides long. The record is from the annotation of a GenBank genome assembly. NCBI's taxonomy places the organism in Eukaryota, Viridiplantae, Streptophyta, Magnoliopsida, Aquifoliales, Aquifoliaceae.